UGAGGGUGACCCCCUCCCCUGCUGGCCUAUACUGCAUGGUAUGCUUGUGCUUGUUGGGUGACCCCCUCUUGCACGCUGGGUGACCCCCAGCUGGCCGCACCACUGUACCUACAGUGUCCGAUUAUGUUCAGACUGAGGGUGACCCCCUCCCCUGCUGGCCUAUACUGCAUGGUAUGCUUGUGCUUGUUGGGUGACCCCCUCUUGCACGCUGGGUGACCCCCAGCUGGCCGCACCACUGUACCUACAGUGUCCGAUUAUGUUCAGACUGAGGGUGACCCCCUCCCCUGCAGGCCUAUACUGCAUGGUAUGCUUGUGCUUGUUGGGUGACCCCCUCUUGCACGCUGGGUGACCCCCAGCUGGCCGCACAAGGUAUCAUUCCGACAGUGUUACCUCUAUGGCAGUUGUGCAAUCACGGCUGAAGGACAAAUCUCCCGUACCCAGAAGGUCACUUGGCCUGUCCUCUUGCCGCCCCGCUGACCUCACUGCCAGAAACCAUCGGUACCCUACGGGAACAUUCCACCGGCCAUCCUAGAUACUACACCAAGCACCCCAGGUACUCGUUGGCUAACGGAUGGAUUCAUCAAGAGGAUCAGUCUUCAUGACGGAGUCCGGAAAGGACACCGCAAACACCUGACACGGGGUUUGCACUCUAUCUGGGACUAACCAGUGGAUGUCAGUGACAUACGGACACAGAUGUUUGCUCGGGACGAACGGCGCGUUACCGCUUGGAAAGCGGAGAAGACUAAAUUCCCACUGGGAAUGGACCGAUAUGACUUAUAGGUAUCGCCUAGUUGGUUUCUACCCCUGAGAACCGCAAAACGGCCCCUGUCCAAGCUGGACAUCAAACUGAUGGAUUUAGCAUCCAAGUGCUGGGUCUGCUCUCCGGAGUUACCCUCAUGUACAAAUUGAGCUGACACAUCUCUAUUCAUAGGGUUCCCCCUUAACUAAUCACAGAGAUCUCUCGGACCGUGCCCGGACUCCAGAUCAAGGUUGGACCGUUCCAUGAGCAAUACGCAUGACCAAAAGAGGCAUCCAUUCCGACUCAUUCCGCAGUUGCCCUGCUGGGCAAAGGGUGCAGUGGAGUGGACUCCCGCCCCAUCCCCACGCUACAUGCUCCCAGUGCAUAUGUCGUCUGUUGACACAUUUUGAGACGGAGGGCACUCAUCCCAUCUGAGAGCUGCUCGGCGUUGACGAUUGGUUCUCUCCCUCAAAUGCACAUGAGAGAAACCCGCAUGGAUUUUGCCAUCAACAUGGACAUAUUGAAUCUGACUCACUCCCAGUCAACCCAGUUUCCGGUCUUUCAUGGAAUAUUCGGUCCAGGCGGUGCUCCGCCUCCCGUGGACCAAGAUGUCCGUCUUCAAGGAAAAUACCAAGUAUAUACUCUGCAACCCGCGGGUUACACUUAGGGGCCCAACCCGGUUAAUUGACCGGUGCCUAUUCGCCAUGGAAGCCAUACCUCCAGGAUCCGGUACUAUCAGCCGCUCCAACAUGGCGCUUUCUCGGGUCUUUGGCCUUGUAUGACCAAAUCAUGUGACCUUCGGAUGAAGCUCAUCUAAAACUUAAUUGAUGACUCCGGAGGAGGGACUCCUUUACGCCAACUGCAUGGAACUACCUGCAGGUUUGUUCAACAUUCACAGUAUUGCUCGCUACCUUCUGGUAUGGACUUCUCACCGGUUGCCCACUACGGACUGCAGUCGGAUCUCACAUAGGAUCGCUAUCUAUAGCUUCUGGACAAGUAUUCAUCAUUUGUGACAGAAUGUAUGCGGGACGAGACACUAGUGUGGCGGACGGCUUCACCCGACCAUGGAGAGACCCCAAUGAUUGGUUGCCUCACCCUCCAGGAUCUUGAGUACUGGCAUGAUUACAUUCGGUGCGAACCGCCAUACGGAGCGGUUCUCCAACUGGCUGCCGGACCCUCGGCGAGGGACGAGUUUUCCAAGCUUGGUCUCCUUCGGGGCGUACGCAUCCCGUUUACCUACAGGAUACUUUGGGUUUUGCUUCAGACCGAAUUCCUGGAAGUGUCGUUUCGCCUGGCCAAACCACUUCGGAGGAGUCCUGCGUGCUUUCCCCUUUUUGCUGGAGUUUGCCAUGGGAAGGCAAUCUACGACUCCCUGUCUCUUAAUGUCCCACGUGGAAUCCACAGGGGUAGCCUGCCAUGACUGGUGUUUGGGUCCCAAUGGCGGUCCUUAUCAUGGCUGUCCCCAUUGUCUGGCUGAGUUGCCCUCUCAGGGUAGGAUCGUAUGGGGCCAUUCACGUUCUAUGUCAGCUAGUGGACGACUCAUGUGCGUUUUCUCAAGAUUCUGGCAUUGCUAGGAUCUCUUGGUCUGCAGACUACCAAGAGGAGUAUACUGUACGGGAGCCCUAUCUCUCGCUAUUCCUCAAGUCUAGUGGUAUUGUGUGUUCUGCAUUUCAUUGAGGAAUGACCUGAUGACAAGGUGCACCAGUUUUUUCCGCUUACGGUUUCCCCCCAGUACAUCUUGUAUUUCAUCGCGUUCUGACGUCAUGGUAUCGACGUGUCUUCUUCCUUCUUGCCGUUCAGUACAUCGGCUUCUGCUCCACACAUAUUUCAUUUUUAUUCGUCCUCUGUGUCGUACCCCUAUUCUCCGGAUAGGCCACGGCUCUGUUGACAGAUUGUACACGACCAUGUAGAUCCAGGAUCUGGUUCUUUCGUCCAUCUACUCAUGGACAGCUGUUUAUUUCUGCAUACAGCCGUUUUGGACUGUUUCUGCAUCUUCGCUCACCCGUUGGAUUUGGUGGAUCCUCUCAUUGACUGACCUUGAGUUCCUCUGGGACACUUUUGGUUCGGGGUGCUGUCACCUCAACAAUUUUGGAAGCCGUUCGGUCCCUUCUGCAUUUUCUCUACACCGCUGCUUGGUUUAGGGAAUCAGUUUUUCCAUUCUCCUUUAUUUCAGUCCUCUAUCUCAUAUUGCUUCUGGUUCUUCUAUUUGGGCGUUAAAAUUGCAAAUAUGAAGCCUCCUGUCCUGCCAUAAAAUUAGGGAUUAUUCUAGCCUCGGUGAGGGAAUAAUCUAAAUUUUAUUAAAGACAGGAGGCGAAUAUUUCCCCCCCUUUUUUUUACGUUCCCUCCCUGGAUCUGAGUUUUAUUCUAUUAGAAAUAAUUGGGGAUAUUGUUAUGUUUUGUGAAUGCAUGGUUUUACAUAAUAAAGGUUAUUUCUAAUAUUCAGUGAUGGUUGUCCGUGUGCGUUUUAUUCAUCAUGUUUGUGUUGUAAUUAUGUUUUGUCAAUGCCUUUUAGCUUAGGUACAUACUAGGUCUUCAUAAGAUCUGUAGACUUUGUUUAUUCAUCAGGUAUUAUGAUGUGAAAGUGAUAUUGUAUGGAUAUGACAUCUUGCCUUGACAGUUUACUUUCACGAUGUUUUCUGUUUUCUUGCAGUGUAAUCUGUUUUCUCUCUGGGCUUGACGAUUGUUUCUCUGGACGUGUCUGCUACAAGGUGGAUUCGUUGGUUUCCUUGCUCUCCUGCUCGACCUCAUCAAAGAAAGAGGAAGUGGAAGAGCCUGCUUAGGG
Pelobates cultripes (western spadefoot toad) is the source of this 3521-nucleotide non-coding RNA. The record is from the annotation of a GenBank genome assembly. Lineage: Eukaryota; Metazoa; Chordata; Amphibia; Anura; Pelobatidae.